This is a long non-coding RNA of Esox lucius (northern pike), 806 nucleotides long. RefSeq lists it as uncharacterized. The record is from RefSeq and is a predicted model, not a curated record. The transcript has 4 exons. Lineage: Eukaryota; Metazoa; Chordata; Actinopteri; Esociformes; Esocidae.
GCAGUUGAGCAGAAGCGGAUAAAAGGGAGGGGAGGAGGGAGAAGAGGAGGAGGAAAAGCCAGGCUUGGAGUCCCACACAAGGGGAGCAAGCCAGUGGGAAUCGAAGCAGUGUUCAUUUCAGAGUGUGCCUCUGUUAGCAGGGCACUACACUCUCUGAGUCUACUCUCUGUAUCUACUGGGCCUUUAUACACGCUUUCUCUCCUUCUCUUUUAUCUUACUCUGUAUAUCGUGACUUCAGUCUGAGCUGGUUAGAGAAGUAAACUCGGCGAGAGAGCAGCUGAACUGGAUUUGAAUGAAAGACUCGAAGCAAUGAGAAGAAAAAGGUGCCAAAGAAAAAGUGGUUGAAGUAGAAGAGAAGAAGAAAAUCUGUAAGCAAACAUUCCUAUGAAGAAAGAAACAUGUAUGACUUGCAAACACUAAGGUAGCCGAGUCAGCAAGACAGAAAUGAAGAUGGUUCAUCGUUAAUGGCUUUCUAUGGUCUCUGCUGUAUUUUUGCUGAAGGUGUCGGCCUACUCUAUCCCACAAGCCUGACUCCAUUUUGAUGCCAGCCAUGGAGAUGAGGACUGACCAGUACGGUAGUACCCAAACUAUACUGGCACCAUCAGCAAUCCACUUCAUCCACACCGAUUUAAGAGACAGCUCAGAGUCUGCGACUGGAAUCAGAGCGGUGAGUUCAAGUUCCUCCUUUCUUUUCUUCCUCCCUCUCGUCGACCUACUCCUACUCCUCUCCUGAUCCUCCCCUUCUUACUGCUCCCCCUGUUGCGAGAUGCUGCCUGUGCCACAAUAGGUCCGGCUGUCUAACAACU